This 51-nucleotide transfer RNA is filed under the name Pleurocryptella fimbriata. Its description in RNAcentral is "tRNA-Cys". The record is from RNAcentral. RNAcentral also lists the same sequence under 1 other name. Lineage: Eukaryota; Metazoa; Arthropoda; Malacostraca; Isopoda; Bopyridae.
GGUUUUUAAAGACAGACUGCAAACCUGUCACAGCAAUUAAUGCAAAAACCU